RNAcentral lists this ribosomal RNA (496 nucleotides) under uncultured bacterium. Its description in RNAcentral is "partial 16S ribosomal RNA". It matches the Rfam family "Bacterial small subunit ribosomal RNA", at positions 28 to 507 of the family's 1533-position model. The record is from RNAcentral.
GAUGAACGCUGGCGGCGUGCCUAAUACAUGCAAGUCGAGCGAACGGACGAGAAGCUUGCUUCUCUGAUGUUAGCGGCGGACGGGUGAGUAACACGUGGAUAACCUACCUAUAAGACUGGGAUAACUUCGGGAAACCGGAGCUAAUACCGGAUAAUAUUUUGAACCGCAUGGUUCAAAAGUGAAAGACGGUCUUGCUGUCACUUAUAGAUGGAUCCGCGCUGCAUUAGCUAGUUGGUAAGGUAACGGCUUACCAAGGCAACGAUGCAUAGCCGACUGAGAGGGUGAUCGGCCACACUGGAACUGAGACACGGUCCAGACUCCUACGGGAGGCAGCAGUAGGGAAUCUUCCGCAAUGGGCGAAAGCCUGACGGAGCAACGCCGCGUGAGUGAUGAAGGUCUUCGGAUCGUAAAACUCUGUUAUUAGGGAAGAACAUAUGUGUAAGUAACUGUGCACAUCUUGACGGUACCUAAUCAGAAAGCCACGGCUAACUACGUG